UGGGGAAUAUUGCACAAUGGGCGAAAGCCUGAUGCAGCGACGCCGCGUGAGGGAUGACGGCCUUCGGGUUGUAAACCUCUUUCAGCAGGGAAGAAGCGAAAGUGACGGUACCUGCAGAAGAAGCGCCGGCUAACUACGUGCCAGCAGCCGCGGUAAUACGUAGGGCGCAAGCGUUGUCCGGAAUUAUUGGGCGUAAAGAGCUCGUAGGCGGUUAGUCGCGUCUGCUGUGAAAACUCGAGGCUCAACCUCGGGCUUGCAGUGGGUACGGGCUGACUAGAGUGCGGUAGGGGUGACUGGAAUUCCUGGUGUAGCGGUGGAAUGCGCAGAUAUCAGGAGGAACACCGAUGGCGAAGGCAGGUCACUGGGCCGCAACUGACGCUGAGGAGCGAAAGCAUGGGGAGCGAACAGGAUUAGAUACCCUGGUAGUCCAUGCCGUAAACGUUGGGCACUAGGUGUGGGGUCCAUUCCACGGAUUCCGUGCCGCAGCAAACGCAUUAAGUGCCCCGCCUGGGGAGUACGGCCGCAA
This 526-nucleotide ribosomal RNA is filed under the name uncultured bacterium. RNAcentral's name for it is "partial 16S ribosomal RNA". It matches the Rfam family "Bacterial small subunit ribosomal RNA", at positions 355 to 891 of the family's 1533-position model. The record is from RNAcentral.